This 831-nucleotide ribosomal RNA is filed under the name uncultured fungus. RNAcentral describes it as "eukaryotic LSU rRNA". The stretch from base 308 to 462 matches the Rfam family "5.8S ribosomal RNA". The record is from RNAcentral. Lineage: Eukaryota; Fungi.
AACAAGGUUUCCGUAGGUGAACCUGCGGAAGGAUCAUUAUCGAAGUCGAACGUCUAGGAGGGGAAGUGGGGGAGAGCGCAGGCGGCCUCGGGACUGUCGCCGGCCUCGUGCGCGUGCACGUCCCCUCGUCCGUCGCUCUUCCCGACCCUUCGAGGCUUUCAACCUUCUCCACACCCGUGUGCACCCGCUGUAGGUCCUUCGGGAUCUACGUCUCCUUUCGAACUCGCAUGUCUACAGAACGUGUUCGACGCGUCCCGACCUCGACCUCAGGGUCUUGCGUCGGCGACCGUCAAAGACCAUGUCAUACAACUUUCAGCAACGGAUCUCUUGGCUCUCGCAUCGAUGAAGAACGCAGCGAAUCGCGAUAAGUAAUGUGAAUUGCAGAUUUUCCGUGAAUCAUCGAAUCUUUGAACGCACCUUGCGCUCCUCGGUAUUCCGAGGAGCAUGCCUGUCUGAGUGUCAUCGAAACCUCGAAUCGAAACUUCGACCUCGUCGGAGCUCGGUUCGGAACGUGGGAGUCUGCGGGCGAACCUCGCUUCGUCCGCUCUCCUCAAAAGCAUUAGCCGUGGGCACGAGCCCUUGCAUGGCACGGCCUCUUCGACGUCAUAACGAUCGUCGCGGGCUGGAAGUGCAUGGCUCGACGUGCAUCCCAUGCUUCUCGAGUCUUGCGAGCCUCCGUCCGCAGGGACGGGGCCGCGCCCCAUCGACGCUUGACCUCAGAUCAGGUAGGACUACCCGCUGAACUUAAGCAUAUCAAUAAGCGGAGGAAAAGAAACUAACGAGGAUUCCCCUAGUAACUGCGAGUGAAGCGGGAAAAGCUCAAAUUUCGAA